Molecule: long non-coding RNA, 1949 nt
Filed under: Daphnia pulicaria
Lineage: Eukaryota; Metazoa; Arthropoda; Branchiopoda; Diplostraca; Daphniidae
Description: uncharacterized LOC124314925, transcript variant X3
Source: RNAcentral
AAGGUUAAAAAAAGCACUACACUAAUAAGGUAAAAUUAAAAUUUUGUUUGCAAAAUUGGGUUUUAAAAAUGCAGGAGGUAAUCAUUAUUUAGAUUUAUUCAAUGCCACAAUUAAUGGGUCAUUCAAUCAUAAUUUCUAAUGCCCUGUUUUUAAUUAAUUGAACCAGCUAGUAUUAGCUCGACAACUUAGGGUGGGGGUAUUCGAGGAAAAAAUGUGUUGUUAUUUGUUAACUGUCCGUUAAAUCGUUAACGGUUAACUUUCUACUCAAAUGCCCCACCCUAGAUGGCGAAGUCGUCGAGCUUGUACUCCAUCUCGCGUCAGUCAUGGGAGAUUGUUCAUGUGGACGAUGUGGUUGUGGACGUUCUUUUCUUUACCGUUUCCGUUUGUCUUGUCCGUUUUCUUUUCUUUCAUCAUUACGUUGGAAAAAGAUAUGGCGACCACGUUACGAGGUGUCGGGUAAUUACGAGGUGUCGGGUAACAAGAGGCGAUUUACCGGCUUACAAUUAAUGCUGUAUCAAAACAGCAGUGCAAAGCCCCGUGAAAUGUAGAUUGUGGUCGGGGAGAAGAACAGUUUUCCACAGUUAAACUAUAAUAUUUGGAUUGCACAGUCUGGAAUAAAUUGUUGGUGGUGGUGAUUGUUUAGAAAAAACUAUUGCCGUGGAGUACUGUAAGAUGUGGUACUACACAAGCUGCGCUGCUCAUCAGUUUGAACAGUUGAUUGCAGUUUUUCCACUACUGAAUUUGAAAAGGCCCUUUGUCAAGAGAAAAAUCCAAUCUAAGCCGAAAAAUUGAGACAGGCGCCAGCCAAUCCUUUCUGGAAUUUUGCUAUGGACAUUUUUCAAAUGAACCUCAAUGUUAAGAAAGGAGAAGAAUCCCAAAAUAGAGCUUGAAGAACCAUCUACUACCGAUAUACCAAUAACCAACGGAACUUAUUCCAUGCGCUCCAAGACGGCGUUAUUAUGGCGUGCUCUUGGCUUGCAGACUCAUGGCAAUUUACGACGGUUCUGGUGGAGUCAUCAAGAAGGAAAGCAGUGGUAACCCUCACCAAAUCAAAAUCCUUCACCAACCGACAUCAUUUUCAAGUUUGACAUAGAUGGACGGCAUCUGUUUGCGGUAUGUAAGACCAUGGCGUCAGAGAAGAGACAUCGUAAAUGUUACUUGUUCAAGUUCCCUUUAGCAAACCUUUAUUACUUCUAUAUCCCAGACCAAUUGCCUAAAGUACCAGCAGAUCUAGAAACCCAAAGUUGAUGAAAUUUGUCUUGAGGAUUAAUUGAGUUCUACAGUAUCACGACGAAAAGCAUCUAGCACGAUAUCGUUUAAGACUUCACAUUGGCCAGACCUCUGUUCAGAAUGUCUCGGUUUUCCACGCAAACGACAUCAAAUCGUUGAGCGAAUUAUCUUGGAAAGUUCGAAUCCUCUGUGCAUGUCCCAAUGAGAAGAAAUGGUGACCAAAGCCGGCAACCUAGGCAGAGACAGUAAAAUUGGACAAGGAAUUCACCCAAUCUCGUCCACGAUUGCGUAAACGCAAGGGCCAUUAGAUAUUUUGGUACUGGAGGUAAACCGAAAUCUAAGACCAUGAAGAAACUCGAUGCUUAUUCCUAAUAGCAAUUGCGCUCACUACAUAAUUCUCUAACCCAUCACUAAAGAACACCACUCCUGCAACACAAACUAAUGUUGUUCAACUUAAUUGGUGUUUACGCAGCUGGGACAACUGGAAUUCCCAUGGGUCGGCGUAUUCAUCACCAUUCAUUCACCACCAUAAAUGAUAACAUAUUUUAGGUUGAUCGCGCAAUGAUGAGUUCAGCUUCGGGACCCCUACCUGGCUGUACUAAUUGCUCUCCAUUGCCUCCGCCACUCCAAUCAAUGUCUUCUGGAAAAUACAGUAUCGCUUCACUGAGAUGUAUACUUUGCCAUUCCAAUGGCAAACUUAAAAGGAAAUGUGCCAUUCC